CCGGCGCCGGGGCGCGCGGCAGCAGCCGUUGGGGUCCCGCGCGCGAGCGCCCGCCCCCAACAGCCGCCUCUGAGGGACCCCAACGGUCCCCGCCCACCUCAUCCGCAGGGGAGGGCCGGAGCUGUCACGCCCGCGGGCCUCCUCUGUGCGCUCUUCAUCAAACACCGGGGAGCUCCGAGCGGGAGGUGUCGCGGGAAAGCAGCGCCCUCCCUCUGGGCUGCCUCCGUCGCCAGCCCCAGCCCCGCAGGUAGGGCACCGGCACCCCGGUGGAGUGAAGCGCCCGCCGCCCGCGCCCCUGCGGGUUACCGGUGCCAAGUACUGCGGCGGGGUGGGUGCUGCUGCUCUGCACCCAGCGCCGCUCGCUGCUCAGCGCCAGCCCCCGAGGAAGCACCUUGCAGCCAAGAAAACGAAGUGUGGCGAGGGAUCACUUAUGAAUAUAUUGAAGAGACCAGAUCUCCCAUUGCUGAGCCUAUGUCAGUGAAUACUGAGACUUUCUUACCGAGGUAG
This 507-nucleotide long non-coding RNA is filed under the name Apteryx owenii (little spotted kiwi). Its description in RNAcentral is "lncRNA (ENSAOWG00000006857.1)". The record is from RNAcentral. Lineage: Eukaryota; Metazoa; Chordata; Aves; Apterygiformes; Apterygidae.